GAAGCAAAAGAUGGAGAGAAAAGGUCUCAGAAGGAUCAACUGUGGAAGGUUUUCCAUUGUCGUUCAUGAAAAGGCAUCACACCAAGAUUCAGCUCUUGGCUUUGAUACAAGAUCUGGCUCCUCUGACUCCAGCAGUGGAUGGCAGCAUAAUAAAUGUGAGCAUUGUGGCACUGAGACUCAGAACUCCCGAAGAGACUGCAGCAAAGACCCUCUGGAAGCAUUUCAUUAUAGAUACAAUACCCCAGGACAGUAUUACUUAAAUCACAGCAGAAGAGAUGCCUUUGUCCAGUCCUGCUCUUUAGAUGAAAAUAAAAAUUCUGCACCUUCUUGUUCAAAACCAAAACAGCUAUGUUCCCAGAAAGUGAAUUCAAUAUCCUUUCAAGAUGAAUGUGAACCUACACUAGGAGAAAGAAAUCUAAAGACUUUUAUGACCUUCAGUGCAGAUCCUGCAAUCCUCCCUCCCCAUUUCCAGUCCUGCAAGAUUUCUGGAAGCAAAUCCUUGUGUGACUUCAAUAGCAUCGAAAAAACAGAAUCUAAGAUUUUAAACUCGGCCUUGGAUCGUGCCCUAAAGACAGCAACCAUUUUGAAAAAAACUACUGAUCAGAUGAUUAAAGUGAUCACAGAAGACCUUGCCAAAGCACAGAGAUGGAGGAAUCAACUGAAAUACUAGUUUGACCUAAGGCAACCAAGCUUGUGGAAGGAAAAAACCAUGUGAAGAGAACUUGAUCAUCACUCUCCCCAAAAGUACCUUGCUUGUUACGCAAUUUAGAAAGAUGUCUUUUCAGAGAAAAAUACUAAAACCAAAAGAGGGCAACACAAAGUGUUUAAAUGGAAAAAAGAAAAAAGAAAAAAAAAAGGGGGAUUUCUGAUUCUUAAACCAAAAGAAACCAAACCAGAACAAUAAAGUUUACUUUUAACCUAUUUCUCUGGAAAAAAUUAAAGAAAGAACUAUUCUCAUAUAUUACUGGUAAAGUAUAAACCAAUGGAACCUUUUUGGAAGAACAUUUGUUAACACAGAUGUUCCUUGGCUUAUGAGAUUUAUAUCCCAGUGAACCCACAGUGAGUCGAAAAUACCAUGUCAAAAAUUCACUUAGUAAACCUAACCUGCUCCACAUCAUUACUCAGCAAAACACUGACAAGUGUCCAUUGUUUCCUGUGUGACUUCGUGGCUGUGGGAGCUGUGGGUGGCUGCCAGUACCCAGCAUCAGAAAGAGUAUUAUCCUCUGACUAGCAGUUCCACCACUAGGAAUUUACAGAUGACUCAGAUCCCCACUACAUGUAGACGGGUCACCGCAUCACUGACAGUGAUACCCUCAAGGGGAACUAAUCUUACACACCCAGUAUAAUGAUUAAUAAAUAAUAAUACUCUGCAACCAGCAGUAUGAGGCAGAUGAUCUAGAAGACAGUGAAAAAAAAAAAAAGAUACCUAACCAUAUACCCAGUGUGGCCUAACUUGUGUAUAUUUUAUUAUAGGGCAUAUAUAUGUCCUGAAAACAUACACAGAAAUCUUGAG
This 1513-nucleotide long non-coding RNA is filed under the name Fukomys damarensis (Damara mole-rat). RNAcentral describes it as "lncRNA (ENSFDAG00000022254.1)". The record is from RNAcentral. Lineage: Eukaryota; Metazoa; Chordata; Mammalia; Rodentia; Bathyergidae.